Molecule: ribosomal RNA, 465 nt
Filed under: uncultured bacterium
Lineage: Bacteria
Description: partial 16S ribosomal RNA
Rfam family: Bacterial small subunit ribosomal RNA
Source: RNAcentral
GACGAACGCUGGCGGCGUGCUUAACACAUGCAAGUCGAACGGAAAGGCCCCUUUGGGGGUACUCGAGUGGCGAACGGGUGAGUAACACGUGAGUAACCUGCCCUUGACUUCGGGAUAACUUCAGGAAACUGGGGCUAAUACCGGAUAGGAAUCCUUGCUGCAUGGUGGGGGUUGGAAAGCUUCGGCGGUUUUGGAUGGACUCGCGGCUUAUCAGCUUGUUGGUGGGGUAGUGGCUUACCAAGGCUUUGACGGGUAGCCGGCCUGAGAGGGCGACCGGCCACAUUGGGACUGAGAUACGGCCCAGACUCCUACGGGAGGCAGAAGUGGGGAAUAUUGCACAAUGGGCGGAAGCCUGAUGCAGCAACGCCGCGUGCGGGAUGACGGCCUUCGGGUUGUAAACCGCUUUCAGCAGGGGCGAAGCUUGUGGUGACGGUACCUGCAGAAGAAGCGCCGGCUAACUACGUG